This 189-nucleotide microRNA precursor is filed under the name Oryza brachyantha (malo sina). Its description in RNAcentral is "MIR812 microRNA precursor family". It matches the Rfam family "MIR812 microRNA precursor family". Lineage: Eukaryota; Viridiplantae; Streptophyta; Magnoliopsida; Poales; Poaceae. The record is from Rfam by way of RNAcentral.
AAUAAACCAAAUUUUCACUUUUUACCUACAAUUUUUCGUCUUAUUCAAUUUUUUUUGUGAUUAAUAUUUUUGUUUUUAUUAGAUGAUAAAUUGUGAAUAGUACUUUACGUGUGACUAAUUUUUUUUUCUAAUUUUUUGAAAUUUUUUUAAAUAAGACGGAUGACCAAACAUUGGACACGGAAACCGAAG